AUGCAUAGUGCUGAGUCCACUGCACCACGAGCCGUCAUUUAUACAUGGUCCUUAGAAAGGAGCCGAGGUCUACUUCAAUCAAAGUGAAAAUUGAGCAGGAAGGAUUUGUAUGCAGUAUUGGUAUCCCGCCAUAAACGCCAAGUCACCAGCCGACAAUUUUCACCGAGGAGCCAAGAAAAUUCGCCGCAACAGGACAAGAGACCAAUAGUUGAGCACAAGUUCUACCGAUCAUUCAACAAUUCAAAAUAGAAACCUAUAGAAUCAUUCAAGAUAAUAUCGUCAAUCAAGUCAACAAAAUUGCCGCCUUUUCAUUUCCCGCGUUGUUGCCAAGCCAAUCUUCGCGCGCCGCAGGCUGCCCUCCUAUUGGCCAAUCAAGUUAGCCCGCCGCCUUGCUGCUUUAUCGACAACGACGACGCCAUCAGCAUCACGCCGCGCCACUUCCCUGUACCGACCGUGGUGACAUUUUGUUUUGCUUCCGUUUGCGUCUCUUCGACGAAAAAUACCUUUUUAGUUUUUAGUUAAUUUCUGUUCGCAAGUUUUUAUUUGACUAUAAGUGAAAACAUUGUAUAGUAUAGUACUUCAGUCUAAAAAUGUCGGAAACCGAUUCCGAUAGAUGUGAAACAAUGGAAUCCAAUAUGACAACUAUGGCGUCUGCGUCUUCUAUGGCCGCAAAUGUUAAAGCGCUCCAAAGAAAGCGUGCUGCGUUAACAAAACAUUAUAAUUAUUUUAACGAUAUUGAAAAUGUUGACCGGGACCGUGAAGCCCUACUUAUCAGGGAGGAACGCUUACGGGCUACAUUUGAAAAAUUCGAUGAAAUUAAUUUAGAAAUUUGCGCAACAGACCCCAAAGCCGGUGAUUCUGGCGAUGUGGAAAGCAAAUUCCUUGAAGUGAUUACAUUAAUUAAAAAGCUUAUGGUCAAUAGCGCCACUCGCCCUUCAGCGCAGCCGCCUUCAAGGCACAAAUUGCCUCAAAUAAGUGUACCAACAUUUACAGAUAAUAGAGCACUUGCAUUAGAGAAUGCAGAGCGACAAGUACACCCUUCUACAAGCCCGAAGGUCGUACACACGGUAACUAUGAUGAAGAAGCCGUCUUCACCUCAAGUCUGCAUACUAUGUGCUGCUACCGCCUGAGCGUCAUGAUGUCCACCGCUUAGUGCAGGAUGCAGGCACACCGAGCACAUCUGUUUCGCUACCAGUUUUUCGCACUCAAUUUGGUUAUGUUGUAGCAGGAUCACUUCCUUCUGCUUUGCAUGCACAUCCGGUAACUUCUUUAUUUUGCAACAAAUGUGAUGACUCCUUAAAUGAAACUCUCACUCAAUUUUGGAAAACUGAGAGUGUUCCUGAGUUUUUUACUGAAAGUUUACCUGAACAUCAAGCUUGUGAGAAAUUAUUUUGUGAUACUGUAACUUUAGACACUAAAACCAAUAAGUUUCAAGUUGCCUUACCUCUUAAGUUACCGUUAGAGUCUGUCAAUCAAACACUUGGUCAUUCUUUUAAUUUAGCUUUAAAAAGGUUUUAUAAUUUGGAAGCUAGGCUUCAAAAGGAUUCCUAUCUUUUCAAGCUUUAUAGUGAAUUCAUACAUGACUACAUACAACAAGGUCAUGGCACAAUCAUCAAUAUCAGUCAAUAUGACCUUUCUACUGAUCCUGUGUAUUUCAUGCCACAUCAUCCUGUUCUCAGGCUUGACAAAAAAUCUACAAAAUGUCGUGUAGUUUUCAAUGGCUCAAUGAAAACAAGUAAUAAGGUGUCACUGAAUGAUUUGCAAUUAAAUGGCCCUGUAGUCCAAAAAGAUUUAGUAGAUGUCUUGCUGUUGUUUAGAGUUGACAAAUACAUUUUUAUAUCUGAUAUCAAAAGUAUGUUCAGACAAAUUUCAUUAGAUCCAAAGUAUAGAUCAUUACAAAAUAUCCUUUGGAGGGACACCCCCAAGGAAGAUAUAAAAUGUAUACAAUUAAAUACCGUAACGUAUGGUCUUAAAAGCUCUUCAUAUCUGGCUACACGAUGUUUAAAAGAACUGGCAAAUAGAUAUAAAAAAGAUUUUCCUUUAGCCGCAUUCAUCAUUGAAAAUUCUAUGUAUGUAGAUGAUGCACUUGUUUCUCAAAGUAGCCCACAGUUAUUAGUUGAGUCUAAGAAGCAACUAUGCAGUCUUUUAGAAAUUGGUGGAUUUUAUUUACACAAGUGGUACUCAAAUUAUCCACAACUGCUAGAAAGUAUCCCAAAACCGUUUCAGCAUUUUGAUGAUGUUGAUUUGGAGAAAAAUAAUGUUUCUUUAAAAACUCUAGGAGUCAAAUAUAAUGUAAACACAGAUUCUUUUAUGCUUUCAUGCCCUAACAAGGACUCUGUCAUGCCCGCUUCCAAACGUGAUAUAUUAAGUUUUAUUGGAAGUUUUUACGAUCCCUUGGGUUUUGCUGGACCCGUGGUAGUAAAAGCUAAGGUCAUUAUGCAAAGGCUAUGGCAUGCACAAGUCGGCUGGGAUGAAGAACCCACCGGCGAUUUACUUAGCGCAUGGUGUGAAUUUUACAAAAGUUUGCUAUCUAUGACACCAGUUGCAACACCACGCUACAUUCAUUUAAACAACGCUUAUUCUGUUCAUAUAAUAGGUUUUGCUGAUGCUGCGAGUUCUACAGCCUAUGGUUGCUGCAUUUACUUGAGGGUCACCGAUGACUCAGGUAAUGUGAAAGUUUCUUUACUCUGUUCAAAGUCGCGUGUGAAUCCAUUAAAGCAAGCCCUUACUAUACGAGGGCUGCUAUUUAUGUAUCCGGAACUGGCCAAUAAUUCUAGAAUAUUUAAAAAGUAAUUACAACAUUUGAAAAUAGAACUCUUCGGCUAGAUAAUAAAUAUUUUUCAUGUCCCUGUCAUUUGUUUUUUUCAAUUGGCGCCAAUUUUGAAAAUAGCUUGUCUUCAUUGCCAUGGAUUUAACUCGUGAACAUUUUCGCGCGAUGAUUUAUUAUGAUUUUCGGCGUGGAUUAACUCAAAAACAGUGCAUCGAACAACUGAUUCUAACUUUUGGAGAUGAAGCACCAUCGAAAACCACUGUGUAUUAUUGGUUUAAGGAAUUUCAACGUGGACGGUCUAUGCUCACGGAUGAAAUUAAGGAGGGUCGUCCUAAAUCGGUAGUGGUACAACAAAAUAUUGAUGCUGUACGACAAUUAGUAAUGCAAGAUCGUCAUGUUACAUACCGCGAGAUAGAGGCGUCUCUGGGCAUUAGUAUGACGAGUAUACACGCGAUAUUACACGAACAUUUAAUUGUUAAAAAAAUUUGUUCGCGUUGGAUUCCGCACAACUUGAGCGUAGAUCAAAAACAGGCUCGUGUCGACUGGUGUAAGAAAAUGAUAAAAAAAUACAACCGUGGCACGUCAAAAGCUGUUUAUAAUAUCUACACAGGUGACGAAACCUGGAUCUAUGCUUAUGACCCUGAAACUAAACAGCAGUCAACGGUGUGGGUCUUUCAAGAUGAACCGAAUCCAACAAAAGUUGUUCGUGCGAGAAGCACUUUAAAGCAAAUGGUCGCUUGUUUUUUUGGUAUCAACGGACAUGUAGCUACAGUGCCACUAGAGAAUAGUAGGACGGUUAAUUCUGAAUGGUACACCACCAUUUGUUUGCCAGAAGUCUUUGAAAAAAUACGAAAGAACAACCCACAACGCAGAAUCAUACUUCAUCACGACAAUGCUAGCUGCCACAAGUCGGCUGAAACAAAUAAUUUUUUGGAGGGUCAAAAGAUUGAAUUGACGGGUCAUCCGCCGUACAGCCCCGACCUGGCACCCAAUGAUUUUUAUUUAUUUCCAAACAUUAAAAAUAAAUUACGUGGUCAACGUUUUUCGAGCCGCGAAGAGGCCGUUGAUGCGUUCAAAACACACGUUUUGGACAUACCUCAAUCAGAAUGGAAAAAGUGCUUUGAAAAUUGGUUUCAUCGUAUGCAGAAGUGCAUAGAUCAUCGCGGAGAAUACUUCGAGAAACAAUAAAGCCAUAUGUAAUAAUAUAUGUUUGUUUAAUUUUGUUAUUCCGGAUACAUAAAUAGCAGCCUAUGUACCAAGACUCGAACUUAACGCGGCAUUAUUGCUUGCAAAGCUAGCCGCUAGAGUGUAUGAUAUUUUGAAACUCAAAUUAAAAAUUGAUGACAUUAUCUUGUAUUCAGAUUCCCAGAUUGUAUUAGCAUGGAUUCAAACUAAUGUAAAUAAGCUAGACACAUAUGUGGCAAACAGAGUAAAGGUAAUUUCACAACUCACUUCCUCAUAUACUUGGUCUUACAUUAGUUCUGAUGAAAAUCCUGCAGACUGUCUAAGCAGAGGCUUAAUGCCAGGUGAGUUGUCAAGUCAUCCGUUGUGGUGGCGAGGUUCAAGUGCUAUAAACACUUGCGAUUAUAAAUCAGAAAACUGGUCUGAGCCGCAUCCUACUUCACUGGACAGCCCUGCGUUCUCUCAUGCAUUGUUUUGUACUGUUUCAAACGAACAAGUAUUAUGUUUAGAUUUUCUUUAUAAAUAUUCUAAUAUCAAUAAAAUGCAACGCGUAUUAGCCUACAUACUACGUUUUGUUGAGAAUGCAAAGCCUAAGGUGGUCAAAAAUAGGUUAAGCUAUUUAACAAGUAAGGAAUUAAGUGAUUCUUUAUUUUUAAUUAUUAAGUAUGAACAACAAAGUCAUUUAAAAAAUGAUAUCUGUAGUUUAAAAUGUAAGAAUGAAAUUGUUAAGGGUGAUUUAAAGCCAUUGUGUCCAUUUAUUGAUGACAGAGGUCUGUUGAGAGUAGGUGGCCGUUUAAAGAAUGCUUCUAUUCCAUAUUCUCAAAAACACCCGGUUGUUUUGCCUAAGAAUUCUCGCAUAACAGAUUUGAUUAUUCAAAGUGAACAUUUAAAAUGUCUCUAUGCAGGACCUAGGUUACUUCUGUCAACAAUAAAUCAAAGAUUUUGGAUUGUACAUGGCAUCAGACAGAUUAAAAAGGUUAUACAUAAGUGUAUUGUAUGUUUUAAAUUAAAGGCCAAUGCUGCAAGGCAAUUGAUGGGUUCGUUGCCUCACGAUCGAGUAAAUGUAUGCAGAGUAUUCCAAAAAGUUGGGUUAGAUUUUGCUGGCCCGAUUAUGAUAAAGCAAUCUAGACUAAGAAAAGCCCUAGAAACUAAAGCUUACGUGUGUGUAUUUGUAUGCUUUGCCACUAAGGCAAUACAUUUAGAAUUAGCAUCUGAUUUAAGAACAGAAACAUUUCUAGCCUGUUUGAAAAGGUUUAUUGCACGCAGAGGUUUACCCACUGACAUUUACAGUGAUAAUGCGUCAACUUUUAAAUCUGCAAGUAGACAGUUAAAUGAUUUAUAUAAGUUAAAAAAUUGUAAAGAUUCUCAGAAGGAAAUUCAUACUUUUUCAUCGCAAAAUAACAUAUCUUUCCAUUUCCUGCCUUGUUACUCGCCUACAUUCGCAGGUUUGGCAGAAUCCGGCGUGAAAAGUAUGAAGUUCCAUCUGAAAAGAGUGGUUCAAAAAAUCUUAUUAACAUAUGAAGAAUUAAAUACUGUACUAUGUCAAAUAGAAGCCAUGUUAAAUAGUAGACCACUCAUGCCAUUGUCAGCAGAUAUAAAUGAUUUUUUGUAUCUCACACCGGGUCAUUUUAUAAUAGGAGAUGCUUUAAACAGCUAUCCAGAACCCAAUGUAACGAUUUCAAAUGAUAAUUUAAAAUUUUGGACACAAUGCACUUGCAUUAGAAACUCCUUUUGGAGAAUCUGGAGUAAAAAUUAUUUAAAUAUGUUGCAGUCACGCCCAAAAUGGAGAGAUUCUCAUGUUAAUGUAAAAGUAGGUUCAUUAGUAAUUUUAAGAGAAGACAACACGUCACCUAUGUUUUGGCCGAUGGCCAGAGUCACACAGGUCUUUCCUGGGACAGACAAUAAGGUUAGAGUUGUUGAAGUAGUGACUCCAACUCGGAACACUCACAAGCGCUCCAUAACAAAAAUUAGUGUUUUACCCAUCUUAUUGUUAAUAAAUUUAUCCUCUAUAAAUAGGCAGUGUUCAUAGUUAGGUAUACGUAUGACAACCUCAUAGUUUAUUUAUUUGUUUUUUUUUUGUUAUAAACAAGUAGUUUUUAUUUUUAUACUGAUAGUCAAUAUGUUAAGUAUUUUGCAGUGUCAAAAUAAGAUUGAUAUUCAAUAACUUUUAGUUAGAUAAUUUAAUUGUGCAUAUGUAUCACAUAAUCUUUAAUAAAUAUUGUAAAGUGAGCAUGCAUGUUGUUCAAAUUAUUCAUUUAAUGUUUGCUGCGCUUUGUCCUACAAACACUUCGUUUGCCGGGCAGCAUGUUGGAAAUCCCAACACUAAAUUAUAUUUUUAUUUUUUUUACUAUAGCAACAUUUACGCUCACAUUAAAAAUAAUGCUCUCUUCCUUUUUGUCUCCAUUGCCAAUAAAAAGUUCUCCCAAGUAA
Molecule: long non-coding RNA, 6382 nt
Organism: Plodia interpunctella (Indianmeal moth)
Lineage: Eukaryota; Metazoa; Arthropoda; Insecta; Lepidoptera; Pyralidae
Exons: 4
Source: RefSeq, a predicted model, not a curated record